CCCCCGGGAGGUCGCUUAUUUAGGACGCAGGGGCGGGCAGGAGCGGCAGGGGUGCGCUGAUGGCUGCUCUGGGGGACGAGGUGCUGGACGCUUACAUGUACCCGGCGUGCGCCCUCUACUCGUACCCGUACCCCUACCCCUACCCGGCCGCCGCCAAGGGCAAGGGAGCGGCGGGCGGGGGAGGCUGGCGGCACCGGGACGGCGGCUACCCUCCCGUUUCCUCCUCCUCUGACGGCGCGGCCUCGUCGUCUUUCCCGGGCUACGGGCAGCUAGCGGCCGCCGAGUACUUCCACAGCUACCAGCGGGCGCAGCUCAUGGCCCUCCUGUCGCAGGUGGGCCCCGGCCUCACCCCGCGGCCCGGCCGCGCCAGCAUUCGGGACGUGGCUGUGCAGGUGAACCCGCGCCGCGACGUCUCCGUGCAGUGCUCGCUGGGGCGGCGUACGCUGCUGCGCAGGGCCCGCGAGCCCGGCCCUGAGCCCGAGGGCGCGGCGGGCGCGGGCGGCAGCUGCCCGGCCUCCCCGGAGCUGGCCCGCCGGGGCCCCGAGCAGGGCAGCCCGCCGAGCGGCGCCCCGCGGCCCGUGCGCUUCCCGCGCACCGUGGCGGUGUACUCGCCCGUGGCUUCCCGCCGCCUUUCCACCCUCCUGGAAGGGGCCGAGACUGCGGCGGCCGAGCAGAGGCCCGGGGCGCCGGACGGAGAGCGAGGGCCGCCAGCUGCGAGGACCCGAGGCCCCGAGGAGGGAGAGGGGUCGGCGAGGAAGGAUCCCCAACGGCCGCAGUCCGAGGAGGACGAGGCCCAGGCCGGCGUACCGGCGAGCAGGGAGCAGCCCCCGCCGGUGGCCGGCGCCCCGGACGCCGCGGGCGAGAGGUGGUCGCCGCGGAGCCCCCAGCCGGGCAAGGAGCGCCUGCGCUUCCAGUUCUUAGAACAGAAAUAUGGCUACUAUCACUGCAAGGACUGCAACAUCCGAUGGGAAAGUGCCUACGUGUGGUGUGUACAGGGCACUAACAAGGUUUACUACAAGCAGUUUUGCAGAACAUGUCAGAAGUCUUAUAACCCUUACCGAGUGGAGGAUAUCACCUGUCAAAAUUGUAAACAGACUAGAUGCUCCUGCCCAGUAAAAGUUCGCCACGUGGACCCCAAAAGGCCCCACCGUCAAGAUCUGUGUGGGAGAUGCAAAGGCAAACGCUUAUCCUGUGACAGCACUUUCAGUUUCAAAUAUAUCAUUUAAAUGAAUGUGAAAAAACCAAAACCCUGGUCCCGCCGAACGUGUGCUAGUGGAGCAGACAAUGUAGGUUAUGCUGGUGGAUGAGCAGUUCUCAUAGACCAAAAGGAGGUACACUCACUCUGGCUUUGGUGAGUCUGUUCCAAGAAAAUGUCUGACGAUUUCCUAAAUUUAAGAUGAUCUGUUGCUGCUACUGCGAUCUUUAAGGUCUGGGAUCUUUUAAGAUCGCUGGAUAUCUGCUGUCAGAUUUAUGAACAGGUCCUGAAAUAGUACAUCAUUUCAAAAACCAAUAAUGCUUAACUGGGUUGUGGGGGGGAAAGAUUCACUAUAAGCGACUUUUCACUUCAUUGCUCCUGCAAGGAAAUAUGUAUGUAUGUAUUUUAAUUUCCUAGAAUCAGUUACUAAUGCCUAGUACAACUGAAUAUUUACCUCUGCUUCAUUUUUAAUUGUGUUUACUUGAUUGAUAAGUUUACAGUAGGCUUGGAACAGAAGCAGCAAUUGAAAAUGCAAUUUGUAUAACCUUCGGCAGAGCUCCAGUUCCUAGAAAUAAAUAACACUGUGUUAAAUUUAGGUGUUAUUUUCCAUAUUUGACUAGACAACAUAUUUCAAAUAAAAAUUUAUAAGUAAAUAAUUGUUAAAAUUUGUUCUGAGCUUAAUUUUUCUGCAGUAAGCAAGUUAAUAUGGUAUGAAGUUGAUGAAAGACAGAUGAAAGAUGCUCUGAAGACUGGGAUUAAAAUAAAAAUUUAAAGAUUAUUGGUUACAUAAUUCAUUUUUAGUGUGAAGCACAUUUUCACAUUAGACAAACAGAAUUUUUCAGCAGGCAAUAAAUAGAAUGCUUUAAAAAGAAUUCACUAGAACUUAAAACUUUAACUUCAUAACGAGAAGAAUUUACAAGUGCAUAUACUCUUGCCACACUGAGAUGUACAUCUCACUGCGUUUAUCAACAAGUGCUUGAUAAAGCAAAAAGUAAAACUCUGGAUAACCUCUCACCUAAAAAGUAAGAAUAGUUUGUCUUUAAAAUGAGUUCCUUUUUUUUUUUAAGAAAGCAAAUUUGUAAUCUCACUGAAACAAGACAAAUUAACAAAUGCACUUGGAUUCUUAAAAUUAAGAAAUAUAAAAGGAGACAUGUUAGAGAUGUGUAAAAAGGCAGCGCUAGUUGUACAGAUUAAUUAGAAAACCUCAUUGUCUUUGUAGGACUGAAACAUUUCAUGGAUUAGGGCUAUGCAAAACUGAAGCACACACUACUCUUAAAGCAGUCCAUGACAAAACAUUGCUAGGUCACAAAUGGCAAAUGAAAACCAGUUUGUCUGACAUGGAUAAGUAGUCUAUAAAUUAAGACAGGUCACUUACUGCUAGAAUUUCCAUUUGCUAAGCAAGAAGGUGAUCGGGUCACAAAAAAUACAAAGGAAGAAAAAGACCAAGAAUUAGUGUAACAAAUCAUUUUAACUAGGGUCACAGAUGUCCCAGGCAAACUGAAGAACAUUUAAAAUUACACCCAAAAGAAAAAUUUAUGAUGCUGUUUCCAGAAUAAAACUUUUUAGACAUUUACUGUAACAAUCCAGGGUGUUUUUCACUCUUUGCCAAAUAACAGCUAAAUUACAUUUAGGCUAUAGUUUAUUUCUUGUGCAAAAGCUACAAAGAAUAAAACUAGUGGGAUAUUGGGAAAGUUGGCUACUGAAAGUGGUCUUCUAUCUGGGUUUUUAUAGCCUUUCCAAAAAAAAAAAAAAAGCCAAAUAAAUUUCCGUUAGUAAAGUGGAAAACUUCUGAUUACAAAAUAUGAAAUGAUUUGCUCUUCUCAGAAAAGAACUGGUUUAUAAUUUUAUGUAUUUGCCCAUGAGAAGAUUCUCUCUGGCGUGGCUCAUUCUGGGUUGCCUACCCUUUGCUGUCUAAGUCCUAAGUUGCCAUAAUUAGUGCUGAAUCGGAAGGUAAAAUAUUGAGAGCAGUUGUGUGUUUUAAAUUGCAUUGCAAAUGUAAUUUAGUAAACCUCAGAAGUUCAACCCAACUAGGUUUGAAUCAAACGAGAUAACGUAAAAUACACCGUGAAACAUCCAGGUUCUGGAAUAUUUAAAAAUUAUUACAUUAAAAUAUCUACAGCAACUUAGACCUAGUCUCAUUAAUGGAGAAGAAUGACUUCUAAUUAAAACAGCAAUCGCCAGAAUGUGAAUACUGCUUCUAAAAGUCCUUCUUGAAAUCUGCUUUUCUAAAUAGUUUCCUCUGAAGCACUGUUUAUAUAACAUUUAUUCCUAUCAAUUUAGAAGGGAUUUGCUAAGCAAAGGUGAACUUCAGCUCCGUACUGCUUACCAUAAAUUAUGUAGAUGGUCAUCCUGUGAAUGUUAGUUGAGCACAAUCCAAUGUCAAACAUAUUAGCAUAUCUAAAUUUCUGAGGUUUUACUUCAUACAGUUUUAUAUGGAAACUAACAACAAUUUGAGCUUUUAAAUAUUUUUUUUCACUUCCAUUAGCAUAAAUAAAAACUGACUCUACACACGUAUUAUCCAGAGCAUCUACUUUGGGGUGUAAUGGAAAAGAAAAUCACUGAUAAAGUUUACGAUCACAACUGUAGGAAAUAACACAGACGUAAUUAAUUUCAUAGCUCUGAAUUACUAGAAAUCACGCUAAAUAUGUUAACACUGUACAUUUAAAAACAUUGCUUUAGUGUACUGAAAUUUGCAUAUACAGUCUUCAUUUACUUUUAAUAUGUAUUGAUUGCUUAUUAUGCAAAAGACUAUACUGGUAUACAGCAAAAGACAAUACAUAAUGUGCAAAAAGGGACCCCUGCUCUCAAGGAGCUGAAUGUGAGAGGAGACCUAAGAUAUCAGUGGAAGUCUUCAAUGUACAGAGUUUUCAGUUUUCACUUAGUAGAAAACCUCAAGCUAUAUUAAUUGACACAGACUCCUGGAGAUGGAACUCAUUUUCUUCAAGGUAGAAGGGGUAUAAGAAAUCACUUAGUCUAACCACCUAAUUUAUAUAUGAGAAAAGCAGUUUGUUACUUGCUUAAGCCAUAGUGGCAAAGACAGAAUUACAACCAAAGGAUCUAAUUCUAGUCUGGGGUUAAUUUCUUAUCUUGCCUCGUUUCUUUCUUUACACAGAUUAUUUGACAAUUUCUUUAUGACAGAGCAGGAUUUGGAGUCAGCCUUCCAAGGGGACACGGGUUCGAGCCCUGGUCUGGGAAGAUCCCACAUGCCGCGAAGCAACUAAGCCUGUGCGCCACAACUACUGAGCCUGCGCUCUAGAGCCCGCGAGCCACAACUACUGAGCCCACGUGCCACAACUACUGUAGCCCGUGCACCUAGACCCCAUGCUCCGCAACAAGAGAAGCCACCGCAAUGAGAAGCCUGCUGGCCGCAACUAGAGAAGAGCCUAUGUGCAGCAACAAAGACCCAAAACAGCCAAAAAUACUAAAUAAAUAAAUUAAUUAAUUAAAAAAAUAAAUAAAACAACAGUCUUAAAAAGUGAACUUGAAUUUCUAGGACUGGUUGUAGACAUAGACUUUCAUCUCCAUUUGAGCCGAAUCAUUUGUAUGCAGCAAACCCAAGCAGAGGAUACUGUGUAUGUGGCUACAUGCACACGCUGGGGACGGUUUACUAAUGGAAACACAAUCAGCUGUCUUCUAUUCCAGGGCCUUGUGGCGCUCCAUUUCAGUAAAGAAUAUUCAUUUUGUAGAUUUUAUGGGAAAUCUUCACAACCUAUACCUGACCUUUGUCUAAUGUAAGAUGGGGAAAUGAAAGAUGGGCUUCCUGUCCUGUCAAUUUAAUAAAGGCAACUUAGAAAGAAUUAACCAGGUCCGUUUGCUUAUCGGAAGUGUAAUUCUCAGAAGACUUGUGUCACUUUUAAUUAGUGAAACAGAAACUAAAAUACAUUUUAAAUCUUGUUUUUGUUUCUUUUUCUUCCUUUUUGGACAGCAAUAAAUGACAAACAUAUUAUCUCCAAUGAAUAUUGAAUACAGAAGCCAAAUGUGGAUUUUCCUUUUCCAGGGGCUGGUCCUAAAGAUGGAUAUUUAUUUAAGGGUAGUUCCACAAGGCUUUAUAGAAACUACGGAGCAAUUCCUAUGGAAGAGAGG
Globicephala melas (long-finned pilot whale) is the source of this 5278-nucleotide non-coding RNA. The record is from RefSeq and is a predicted model, not a curated record. Lineage: Eukaryota; Metazoa; Chordata; Mammalia; Artiodactyla; Delphinidae.